GUGCGCCUACAAGCGGUCGGAGUCCUGACUUUGUCAGGAUGACGGCGUGCCUUUUGCAUAAUGAGCCUACGAGUUACUCCUCACCGGCAAGGUUAAUCCUGUAAACAGGAGGAGCCGCAGCGAAAGCGAGUCUGAACAAGGCGCAAUAGUCGGUGGGGGUAGACGCGAAACUUAGUGAUCUACCCAUGGCCAGGUUGAAGCUCUGGUAAAACAGAGUGGAGGACCGAACCGAUAAGCGUUGAAAAGCUUCCGGAUGAGCUGUGGGUAGGGGUGAAAGGCCAAUCAAACUGAGAAAUAGCUCGUACUCCCCGAAAUGUUUUUAGGAACAGCGUCGGGAAUUGUAUGAUGGAGGUAGAGCUACCGAUAGGACUAGGGGGAGUCAAAUCCUACCAAAUCCUGACGAACUCCGAAUGCCAUUAUACAGAACCGGCAGUGAGGGCUUGGGUGCUAAGGUCCAAGUCCGAGAGGGAAAGAACCCAGACCUACCGCUAAGGUCCCAAAAUCCGCGCUAAGUUGAACAAAGGCGGUCCAGCUGCAGUGACAGCCAGGAGGUUAGCUUGGAAGCAGCUAUUCCUUUAAAGAGUGCGUAACAGCUCACUGGUCGAGCGGCAGGGCGUCGAUAAUAAUCGGGCAUCAAGUGCGGUACCGAAGCGAAGGAAAGUAUUUAUAUUUUGGUAGGGGAGCAUUCCAGCGACAGUGAAUCCAGAUGGUAAUGUCUGGUGGAGUUUCUGGAAAAGCAAAUGUAGGCAUAAGUAACGAUAAUGGAUGGGAACAACAUCCACACCGAAAGACCAAGGAUUCCUGAUCAACGCUAAUCGGAUCAGGGUCAGUCGGGACCUAAGGAUAACCCGAAGGGGGAUUCCGAUGGAAAAUGGGUUAAUAUUCCCAUACCGAACAUACAGGUAAUGGGGCGACGGAGUGUUGAAAGAUCCGCCCGGUGACGGAAUACCGGGUUAAAGGGUGUAGGUAUUUGGACUGUAGUAAAAUGCGCAGACUUAGCCGAACCUGAUAGUACCAAGCGUCUUCGGACAAUUGGAUAGUGGUCCUAAAAGCUUCCAAGAAAAACCUCUAGCGUUAAGCGUAUGUUCGCCCGUACCGCAAACCGACACAGGUGGUUGGGGAGAGUAUCCCAAGGUGCUCGAGUGAAUCAUGGCUAAGGAACUCGGCAAAAUGGCCCUGUAACUUCGGGAGAAGGAGCGCCUCC
This 1204-nucleotide non-coding RNA is filed under the name Leifsonia rubra CMS 76R. RNAcentral describes it as "LSU rRNA". It matches the Rfam family "Bacterial large subunit ribosomal RNA", at positions 558 to 1755 of the family's 2925-position model. The record is from RNAcentral. Lineage: Bacteria; Bacillati; Actinomycetota; Actinomycetes; Micrococcales; Microbacteriaceae.